CCUACGGGGGGCUGCAGUGGGGAAUAUUGGACAAUGGGCGAAAGCCUGAUCCAGCCAUGCCGCGUGUGUGAAGAAGGCCUUCGGGUUGUAAAGCACUUUCAGUGGGGAAGAAAGCCUUGGGGCUAAUACCCUCGAGGAAGGACAUCACCCACAGAAGAAGCACCGGCUAACUCCGUGCCAGCAGCCGCGGUAAUACGGAGGGUGCGAGCGUUAAUCGGAAUUACUGGGCGUAAAGCGCGCGUAGGCGGUCUGAUAAGCCGGUUGUGAAAGCCCCGGGCUCAACCUGGGAACGGCAUCCGGAACUGUCAGGCUAGAGUGCAGGAGAGGAAGGUAGAAUUCCCGGUGUAGCGGUGAAAUGCGUAGAGAUCGGGAGGAAUACCAGUGGCGAAGGCGGCCUUCUGGACUGACACUGACGCUGAGGUGCGAAAGCGUGGGUAGCAAACAGUAUUAGAUACCCGAGUAGUC
RNAcentral lists this ribosomal RNA (465 nucleotides) under Vreelandella stevensii. RNAcentral describes it as "partial 16S ribosomal RNA". It matches the Rfam family "Bacterial small subunit ribosomal RNA", at positions 338 to 795 of the family's 1533-position model. The record is from RNAcentral. Lineage: Bacteria; Pseudomonadati; Pseudomonadota; Gammaproteobacteria; Oceanospirillales; Halomonadaceae.